RNAcentral lists this ribosomal RNA (889 nucleotides) under Kellermania micranthae. Its description in RNAcentral is "LSU rRNA". It matches the Rfam family "Eukaryotic large subunit ribosomal RNA", at positions 37 to 944 of the family's 3401-position model. Lineage: Eukaryota; Fungi; Ascomycota; Dothideomycetes; Botryosphaeriales; Planistromellaceae. The record is from RNAcentral.
AGCAUAUCAAUAAGCGGAGGAAAAGAAACCAACAGGGAUUGCCUCAGUAACGGCGAGUGAAGCGGCAACAGCUCAAAUUUGAAAUCUGGCGCCUUCGGCGUCCGAGUUGUAAUUUGCAGAGGAUGCUUCGGCGAGGGCUCCCGUCUAAGUCCCUUGGAACAGGGCGUCGCAGAGGGUGAGAAUCCCGUAUGUGAUGGGCUGCCCGAGCCGUGUGAAGCUCCUUCGACGAGUCGAGUUGUUUGGGAAUGCAGCUCUAAAUGGGAGGUAAAUUUCUUCUAAAGCUAAAUACCGGCCAGAGACCGAUAGCGCACAAGUAGAGUGAUCGAAAGAUGAAAAGCACUUUGGAAAGAGAGUUAAAAAGUACGUGAAAUUGUUGAAAGGGAAGCGCUUGCAACCAGACUCGCGCGCAGUUGCUCAGCCGGUCUCCUGACCGGUGUACUCUUCUGCGUCCGGGCCAGCAUCAGUUCGGGCGGUCGGAUAAAGGCCUCGGGAAUGUGGCUCCCCUCGGGGAGUGUUAUAGCCCGGGGUGCAAUGCGGCCAGCCCGGACUGAGGAACUCGCUUCGGCUAGGAUGCUGGCGUAAUGGUUGUAAGCGGCCCGUCUUGAAACACGGACCAAGGAGUCUAACAUCUAUGCGAGUGUUUGGGUGUCAAACCCAUGCGCGUAAUGAAAGUGAACGGAGGUGGGAACCCUCGCGGGUGCACCAUCGACCGAUCCUGAUGUCUUCAGAUGGAUUUGAGUAAGAGCAUAUCUGUUGGGACCCGAAAGAUGGUGAACUAUGCCUGAAUAGGGUGAAGCCAGAGGAAACUCUGGUGGAGGCUCGCAGCGGUUCUGACGUGCAAAUCGAUCGUCAAAUUUGGGUAUAGGGGCGAAAGACUAAUCGAACCAUC